UACACUUUUCUCAUUUUUAUUUCACGCCUCUCACUCUCUCUCUCUCACUACUCACUACUCACUACUCAAGUUCAAAUAUUUUGGUGAAAAUUUGUUGUUGUUGAAAGGAUAGAAAUUCAUGGAAAAACUUCAAUACUAGAAUAAGAUCUUUGUUUGAGAGAAUUUGUACCUGAAUGUUACUGUUCAAAGAUAGUUGUUUAGAUCUGGUUGAGAUGCUGCUAAAGCCAAAUAAGCUAUCCAUCUAGGGCUGGCAUCUUUGUAGUGUUUACAGAGAUAUAACAAAUUGAAAAGUGUUUUCCUUCAGAAAAAGUCAUCAAAAUUCCCCUCUCGAUCAUUUUCUCAGUUUCUAGAACCUGUACAAUCAACCAACCAAGAAAAAGAAAAGGAUAUAUCAUACAGUUUUCUAUAGCAGAUUCAGUUUAAAAAAUAUGAUGUAGAUGCAACUAAGCUAUCAACAUCUAUGGAUUAAAGAGAUAAUUCUACUACAUGGAAAAAGAAUUUUACUCCUCACAAUGCGAAAAAGUUGAAUUUGGCAUCCUUGUUUUUCUCGUGGAGAACAUUUAAGGUGGAGUUACUGCACUCCAAACUAACUGGUAAUUGAAUCAGCACUUGUUUGUGGACUGCACUUGGACUAAACUGGCAGGGAUCCCAUUAUGCAAUGGGCUGGAAUUCAGGUUUAAGCCGGAGAGGUGAAAUCUAGAAUUCAGGACUAUGAAAAUGGGGAAAAGAGCGCCCUUUUCUUAAGGUCUACGAAGAGACGCAUAGAAAGGAAAACAAGGACGGUACAAGAGGAGAUUGGGUCUAACCGCGUGCUAGAAUUGUAUAUGAAGAAUUUUAAGAAAACUUAGAAGAGUGGCGAAAAACCCAACCUACUUCAGAGGAUGGUACCAUGGUCCAACCAUCACCUGCAGAGCUGAAUAAUAUGUGGAUGACUGUGGUAGGUGAUCCAAAGAAUGGUAGAACCUACGAGACAGGGGAUCUCCAAUCCUCGAGUAGUCCUUCGUUGUUUCCCAGUUCCUCCUCUACUUUGCAAAUUAUGGAAGAAAUGGAUGCGAUGAGAAAGCAAAUUGUGGAGUUGACGUAGAAAUGUGCAGCUAAUGAUGCUAGGUUUGCUAAAUUUGAUAAAUUGGAGGAGUUGGUUAAGAAGCACAUGCCACAAGUAUUUCAGGACGAGGAAUAUAAUGAAUCUGAUGAUAAUUAGAUUGUAGUUAUUGUUCUUGUUUUUGGUUGUAACAUUUACAUGUUUAAACUAUUUGAUUUGAUGUUUGUUUUGAAUGGUUUAAAGUUGUUGUAUUUAUAAAUUUUUGUUGUGUUUGAUCCUGUUGUGAAAAAUACAUUAGUUAUGUCGUUUAUAAUUUGAAAGUCGGGUAAGCGAAUGCAAAAUAAU
Molecule: long non-coding RNA, 1387 nt
Organism: Capsicum annuum
Lineage: Eukaryota; Viridiplantae; Streptophyta; Magnoliopsida; Solanales; Solanaceae
Exons: 4
Source: RefSeq, a predicted model, not a curated record